AGAAGAGUAAGAAGAGGAGGCGACAAAGAAGAAAAUUCAAGGCAAACCAAAGAGGACUCUCGGUCAAAGUGGCCGUCAGUCUCGUGAGCACCCUCUAGGGCCUCAAGCUCCCGCACCUUGCUCGCUUGGGUGAUGCAGGUAACUUCUUCCUGGAGGGCCGCGGUUGCGUCCAGCGCCUUGGCCAGCUGUGCCUGCUUUUGGAUCAGGGCUUACUCCUUCUCCUUCAAGGCAGCGUCCUUGAGCUUCAUCUCCUCGAGAUGAACCAUCUCAAGAUGCUCCACGUCGGCAGCAUGGGAGGCGUCCUUCUCCUGCAGGGAAGCGCGUAGCUGCUCCUGCUCAGCCUGACGGGCCGCCUCGAGCUCCUUCUUCUCCGCCCGGAGAAGAGCCAACUGUUGCUAGAGCCGUCCAUCUGCCUCGCGCAGGGCGUCCCACUCCACGACAACCUCGCCCAGCCGGGCCUGAAGUUCGGCGACCUGGCCAUCAGCCGCCUGGUUCUGAGCCCGUAGCGUGUUGUAGGCUUGUACCUUGGCAUAAUAAAGAUCCUACAAGAAAUGAAGAAGCAAAAGUAAGAUUCGGCCUGGUUAAUUUAUAACCAACCCGAUUCUUGGGGGCUACACCCAGUGGGUGCGCUAGCGUGCCCCCACUAAAAAAGCAAAGCAAGAGAUGAAGCUCGAAGAGAUUUGGCCCUGCCAAUGAUCGGCCGGCCCGAUUCUCGGGGGCUACACCCAGUGGGUGCACUGGCGCACCCUCAUUGAUUCAAGAUGAAAAAAAAA
RNAcentral lists this long non-coding RNA (773 nucleotides) under Hordeum vulgare. Its description in RNAcentral is "long non-coding RNA (HVUL_LNC015232)". The record is from RNAcentral. Lineage: Eukaryota; Viridiplantae; Streptophyta; Magnoliopsida; Poales; Poaceae.